UCAGUUGUUGUAAAAACCCAUCUGGUUUAUCAACCCCAAUCAGAGAUGAAAAUAAAUGUUGGGGUCUUAUGGCAAAGUAAUAAUAUUUCUGAGUAAGAGGGCUUGGGUUAAUGUCCUAUUUGUUCUAGAGUGAAUGUAUUACAUCACCGGCAAAGCCAACAUUUCUUACCUAAGACAAAGUGGUGGAGUUACAUGAGUUAUUCUCCAAACUAAAGGCAUCUUCCUUGAAUCUAAUGAUUUUUGGAAAGUGAAAACCAAUGCUACUUUAAGAUCCUAAGAUGAAAUCCAUCAGGAC
This is a non-coding RNA of Chiloscyllium plagiosum (whitespotted bambooshark), 295 nucleotides long. NCBI's taxonomy places the organism in Eukaryota, Metazoa, Chordata, Chondrichthyes, Orectolobiformes, Hemiscylliidae. The record is from RefSeq and is a predicted model, not a curated record.